This is a long non-coding RNA of Cydia pomonella (codling moth), 2840 nucleotides long. RefSeq lists it as uncharacterized. NCBI's taxonomy places the organism in Eukaryota, Metazoa, Arthropoda, Insecta, Lepidoptera, Tortricidae. The transcript is spliced from 2 exons. The record is from RefSeq and is a predicted model, not a curated record.
AAACACAGAAAUGGACUUAAAAACUCAGUAUAAACUACUAUAUCAAAAAAUUAUUGAUAACGUUUUAAUUCAAAUAGAUUCCCGAUAUCGAUCAUUGAAUAAACUCACUUUCUUGGAUUUAUUAAACAAACACAAAUACACCCAAUAUUGCAGAUUAUUCCCCGAUGAAAAAAUAUCCGAUUUAAUGAACAAGUUUCCAAAUGUUUUCAAUUUCACGGCCUUAAAAAAUGAAUUAAAUGUUAUGUACACCUCGCCAAGUCUAAAUACAUUAGACGCGUACGAACUUUAUUUGUACCUCCACAAUUCAUCCUUGAGGGACAUAUUCUCGCAACUUUUAACUUUGUGUCACAUUUUUUUGACUCUUCCCGUAUCGGUUGUAUCCGCGGAAAGAUCGUUUUCGGCCUUGAAGCGCAUUCAUACCUACACGCGAAAUUGUCAAAAAGAAGAAAGAUUGUCAAAGUUGGCCAUAAUUUCAAUAGAAAAACAUUUACUGCUAAAAAUUCAAAAACGUCACGAAUUUUACGAUAGUGUUUUGGCUCAUUUUGUUCAAAAAGACCGCAGAAUUAUGUUACAAUACAAAUAGACUGUUAUUUAAAGCCUAAAUCAGAAAUUAUCAUUUAAAAAAAUCAAUCAGCUUUCAACCUAUUUUCAGUUUAGGUAAAUGCAUGUUUUUUUAAAUAAAUAUUUAGCGUUAGCAAGAGGUGUUGAGACUGUUAAGUCUAAUACGGCUCGAACACACGGACGCGGAUCCGCGCGCCGUGGCGUGGCGUUGUGCAAACGAGACAUCGCUAUGUAAUGACCAUAGCGCUGUCUCGCUCGCAAAGCUUUACGGCAGGUUGCUGGUUUCGGUUUAAUAAUGUGCAAGAUAGUUUUUAAUUGGUGUUUUUUAGCUGGUGAUUUAAGCUUUGCUUUACUGAUUUGGUCAUUUCUUAUUUCAUUAAAACGUGUAAUCCUUGUGUUUUUUAAAUAACGCGUGGAACGUGCAGGGAUUAACAAAACCUAAAAGUAGUUUUGAUGAUAUUUGCAGGUUUAGUAAACGCACGUUUUUCUAAAUAGGUGUUUAGGUUUUGAAAGACGUGUUGAGUCUAUUAGAGCAGGUUUCGGUUUAAUAAUUCAAUAAUAGGUUUUAAUUGACGUGUUUUAACUUGGUGAUUUUGUUUCACUUAUAUGGUCAUAUUUUAAUUAAUUUACAUGUGUAAUGUUUGUAUUUUUUAACCAACGUGUGUGCUGCUGAUUCACCGUUUUUUUUGUAAAUAAGCAAGUUGCGUUUGCAAGAGGUGUUGUCUAUUAGAGCAGGUCGUUGGUUUCGGUUUAAUGAUGUGCAUGAUAGCUUUUUAAGUAAUGAUUUUUACUCGGUAUUUUAAGUUUCACUGGUUUGGUGUUUUUUUAUUUAAUUAACAUUUGUUAUGCUUGUGUUUUUUUUAAACUAACGUGUGUUACGUGCUGGGAUGUGAAUGCUGUUCAAAAGGCUUUUUUCAAAGCCGUUUUGUCAUACUCCAUAUACACUGUUUACGUGAAGUCAGUGAUGACUAGUAUGGCAAAGGUGGUUUAUGCACUAACUGCAAAAGGUCGCGCCCAAGGACACACAUAGCGCACGCUUCACUUUUAUCACGGAAAAAUAAGUACAUAAUGUCAAGGUAAGUGUUUUUUUUUUGGUCCGAGUUGCCUAGCCAAAAUUUCCACGCGCCGCUACUGAUAUACACAUACAUUGUUAAUUGGUAAGUAGAAAUACAACUAAUAACUCAUUGUACAGUCAGUAUUAUAUAGAUAGUGAAAGUCAAUACCUCCAAAUAUACAGCUACAUCCAACAUAUCAAUUAAUACUGAACCAUCCAAAGUGAUCAGAUUGUGCAGGUAUCCAACAAACAAAUUUUGGAUGUAGCGGUAUAUUUGGAGGUAUUGACUGACACUAACUAUACGAUGCUGACUGUAACAUUUACCAUAUCAUAACAUUUAGAAAAGAAUGAAACUGUAUUAUUACUUUUGUUUUCAGCCGUAUAACCUACGAAGAAUACAAUGUGUUAGCGGCCAAAAUAAUAACACUGUUUCCUAAAGAGUCAAUAGGCACAUAUUUUACAAAGCCUAUAAAAAAAAUAGAUUCCAUAAAUGGACGUUCUACAGGAGCCAAAGGAAAAUUAGUCGACAAGGUUCGCAACCUCUUGUAUAAGUAUGGCGAUCGCAAGAGAUCAGCCAGCGAGUCGGAGAGUACUCCACCGCCAAAGAAAAGUUGUGAUGACUUAAAGGAUUUACACUCCAGGGAUAUAUUGUGGUUGAAUAACAACUCAGAACCUUGGGAAGAGGUAAUAAUUAAAUGGAAGGCCACAUAUAAUCUAAGAAAGGAAGGUGAACAGAAAAAUAUUCAUGAGUUUUUACGAGACUGGAAAAUCUUGUCGGACCCUAGAAGUGAAAUAUUGUAUACAAUUUGUCAAAAGGUCCCUGGCAUACUAGCUUAUGUCGACGAAGUAAAGCAUUCGUCCCUUUCGCACUUGCAUACUUGCUAGAAAGUGGCGAAUGUUUUACGUCAUCGAUAAAAGCUAGUGUGCUAUUAGGUCUUGUGUUGUUAUAAGUUCAUUGUACUGCAGUCUGCAAAUAAACCCUACUUUACUCUUAAUAUCAUUACUCUCGACUCCUAAACACUAUAUGAAUAUAUCAUUGAAUACAAGGAUCUAGCACAAAAAAAAUUAAUCGUGUCAGAUCGUGGUUUAGACCGAAUUCGAACAGUGAAUGGUGCUGGUUGCAAAACCGUGAGCCAUACUGAAAACCAUGAUCUGCCAAAAUUUAAUUUCACUUUGUACUGUUGUGUUUGUUCUUAAAUGAAUAAAACAAUAUUAUAAUUAAUGA